Molecule: ribosomal RNA, 301 nt
Filed under: uncultured bacterium
Lineage: Bacteria
Description: partial 16S ribosomal RNA
Rfam family: Bacterial small subunit ribosomal RNA
Source: RNAcentral
CAGUCGCCGCGGGAAAACGUAGGUGGCAAGCGUUGUCCGGAAUUAUUGGGCGUAAAGCGCGCGUAGGCGGCUUCUUAAGUCUGAGGUGAAAGGUUCAACGCUUAACGUGAACAGUGCCUUGGAUACUGGGGAGCUUGAGUAUGGGAGAGGGCAGUGGAAUGGCUGGUGUAGCGGUGAAAUGCGUAGAUAUCAGUCGGAACACCCAUGGCGAAGGCAGCUGCCUGGCCUAAUACUGACGCUGAGGUGCGAAAGCGUGGGGAGCGAACAGGAUUAGAUACCCCCGUAGUCCCUGUCUCUUAUU